GCCGGGAUAGCCAAGUCUGGUAUGGCGCAAGCCUGCUAAGCUUGUGGGGGAGACCCCACACGGGUUCAAAUCCCGUUCCCGGCG
This 84-nucleotide transfer RNA is filed under the name Candidatus Undinarchaeales archaeon. RNAcentral's name for it is "tRNA-Ser". It matches the Rfam family "tRNA". From Rfam's summary of the family: Transfer RNA (tRNA) molecules are approximately 80 nucleotides in length. Their secondary structure includes four short double-helical elements and three loops (D, anti-codon, and T loops). Lineage: Archaea; Nanobdellati; Candidatus Undinarchaeota; Candidatus Undinarchaeia; Candidatus Undinarchaeales. The record is from RNAcentral.